This 1329-nucleotide long non-coding RNA is filed under the name Bos grunniens (domestic yak). Its description in RNAcentral is "lncRNA (ENSBGRG00000010252.1)". The record is from RNAcentral. Lineage: Eukaryota; Metazoa; Chordata; Mammalia; Artiodactyla; Bovidae.
GACAUACUUUACCCCAAGGCCACACCAGUUUUCGUCGGUUUAAUUUCUGCUUUUGCAGGGGGUGGCCGUCCCCCGGAUGAACGUUCCCCUGGGCAUGCCUCUCUCCUUUCCCCGGGGGGGCCUCCAGCUGCACCGGCUGUGGGGGGUGGGGUGGGGGGCGUUGGCCCCGGCUCCGAAUUUUGCAGCGAGGCCCGGAAAUCGGUCCCGUUAAGAGCCGAUUUCACCCAUCAGGAAUGCGCUCCGCCCCCGCCACCGCCUCCCCGCCGCUGCCGCCCUCCGCGUCGCCUGCUCCGGGGGGCCGGGGAAGUGCCUGAGGGGAGCGCCGCCUCCGCCCCCGUCACAACACCGCCGGGUCGGCCGCCGUCGCCCCAGACUGCCGGGGCCAGGAGGACAGGGCUCGCGGGGCGGAUCCCAAGCCUCGCCUCCCGCCCGCGCGGCCGCCAGCGCCGGGGCCGAGCCAGGGGGACGCGCGGAUCCAACGCGAGGCCUGAGCCCCCACUAGCCCGUCACCCUCCCCCGGCGCCGCCUGGGCUCCGCCGCGCAGAGUGCGAGAAGGGGCGCCUCUCCCGUGGGAUUUCCGAGUCCAUUUCCGUCCCGGGGAGCGGCCGGAGAGCCCCGCGUCGGAAACGGGAACCGCGCCCCUGCCCUCCGGCUCCCGGGUGCAGCCUUCCCCCAUUCACCCCACCCCAGACCCGCCCGUACCUUCAACUCCUCGAUAGGGCGCAGAGCUGCGGGCGAGCAGGCCCAUCUCCCGGCGGCGGCGGCCAGAGGAAACACGGAGGAGGGUUCCUCAGAGCCGCCCAGGCGCCUCUCAGCUGGGGCGGGGGGAACGCAGAGGAGGGGUCCCGACGGCCGCUUCCCCGAACUCCUCCUCCGCAGUUCUGUCUUGACGGCGGUUCCCGGGAAUCAGCGCCGCAACUGCCAUUCUCUCCCCCGGGCCCCGCUUCCCUCAGCCCCCGCUGUCUCCGCCCCCUCCUCCCACUCCUUCCUCCCGCCCCCUCCCCGCCCAGCCGCGCCUCGCCCCUCCCCGGAGCGCCGCCCGCGUGCCUUGCGUCAUGGCGUCACGCCCACCCCGGCCCGUCGCUGGACGCGCGGGGACGCGGGCGUUCGCUGUCCCACGUUCGCCCGGUUAAUCUCACGGGAGCGUCCCGCCUGCGGCUCGGGUGGCCGGGAGUGUGGCGCCCCCGCCACCUCCUGCUUGACCUCCGCCCGAGAGCGUCAGCGGCCCUUCCUGCCCCUCAGCCUGUAGGACUUCUCCCGGGCUGUGGGGCAGGUGUCUCAGGACGGGGGGGGGGUGGGAGGUGCCUAGAAGCCGCUCUCGAGGUGUAG